RNAcentral lists this ribosomal RNA (377 nucleotides) under uncultured eukaryote. RNAcentral describes it as "partial 18S ribosomal RNA". It matches the Rfam family "Eukaryotic small subunit ribosomal RNA", at positions 592 to 976 of the family's 1831-position model. The record is from RNAcentral.
CAAUAGCGUAUAUUAAAGUUGUUGCAGUUAAAAAGCUCGUAGUUGGAUUUCGGGGCAGCCUGGCUGGUCCGCCGCAAGGCGAGUACUGGUCCGCCGCCCUUCCUCUCGAAAGCCCCGACUGCUCUUUAUUGCAGUGGUCGGGUAGUUCGGGACGUUUACUUUGAAAAAAUUAGAGUGUUCAAGGCAGGCCUACGCCUGAAUACAUUAGCAUGGAAUAAUGGAAGAGGACCUCGGUCCUAUUUUGUUGGUUUCCAGGACCGAAGUAAUGAUUAAGAGGGACAGUUGGGGGCAUUCGUAUUUAAUUGUCAGAGGUGAAAUUCUCGGAUUUAUGAAAGACGAACAACAGCGAAAGCAUUUGCCAAGGAUGUUUUCAUUAA